GUGAUUAAGUAAGGAAACUAACAUGAUGAUAACUUGAUAAUGACCCCCUUUGCCUAGCAAUCUAUUCAUAAAAUUAAGAGCCUUUAUUAACCUUUGGAAUUUAAACAAUAUAGAAUAAUUGUCUUUUCUGUCAUGUUCUUAACAUACUGUUUAGUCAAUAAAGAUCAAUGAAAACUGAAUGCAUAUUAAUUUACAAAGGCAUUUGCAAUAUAUUUGACUUCUUUUUCUCCUUUCUGUUUUUGUAAACAGGACCUACAUACACCCCAAAGGCUCUUUUCAGAGCCAUUUUACCAAGCAUCUUUGCAUCUUUGUACAUAGUGCCGGUUUUCCUUCAGUAGUGCCAGUUUUCCUGAGAUUUUACCUCGUCCUCCACUGCCUCCAGCAAUUCCUGGUUUUAAGGGUUCCCCAAAUCUUACCCUGGAGGGCCGGAGCACUGCAGAGUUUAGCUCCAACGCUGAUCAAACACACCUGAGCAAGCUAAUCAAGGUCUUCAUGAUCACUAGAAAAUCACAGGUGGGUGGAGUAAUGGAGUAAAGAUGCAACAGAGCAGCUGAUAAGAAAACAUGCUUAAGACCAUCUUAAACGUGCACCAUCAAGAAAGGGAGGGGUACACAAUAAACAUUUUUUUUAAAUAGAUGCACUUUUAAUUUUUAAAGUAUAUAUCGUCGCUGUCCGAUGAAAACCACGCAUGUCCAUUUUGCUGAUUUUUAGAUUUUUCGACAGAUUGAAUGUCCAGGUUCAUUUCCGUAUACAGUAUGCGUCACAUACCUAAAUGGCCAAUGAAAAGUUGUGAAAUCAUGUCAUCUGAUUUUCAAGUAUAUCCAUUUGGUGUCAAAGCUGUCAAUCACGCCGCAUAUCUUCCGCCUGUGAAGCAUCUCGCCGGUCUCGUAAAGUUUCAUCGAAGCUCAGGACUGGAUAUAGCGAAGAAACAUGACAAUGACUUUCCUUCAUCGAGGUAAACGUUUCCCCCGGACGCCAGACGAACAUCUAGGAGUGCCUUAAUUACGGUAGGACUGUGCAAACAAAGUAUCUGUCUAGCAUUGGUGUUGUUAUUUACGCUGGGGACAUCCCACCGCUUUUUGAAGGCGUUUUGUUAAAAUGUUCUGAAAAAUCAAGCGAUGUUUUGUGGUCUAGUGUCACAUAUGUUGCGUUGUAUGCUUAUGGUGUGUUUU
This is a non-coding RNA of Misgurnus anguillicaudatus (oriental weatherfish), 1172 nucleotides long. Lineage: Eukaryota; Metazoa; Chordata; Actinopteri; Cypriniformes; Cobitidae. The record is from RefSeq and is a predicted model, not a curated record.